This 1652-nucleotide long non-coding RNA is filed under the name Equus caballus (horse). RNAcentral describes it as "lncRNA (ENSECAG00000058882.1)". Lineage: Eukaryota; Metazoa; Chordata; Mammalia; Perissodactyla; Equidae. The record is from RNAcentral.
GGAGACCUGCCAGUUGGCUGACGCCGGGAGUUGGGUCUCUGGUUGGAAGGACAUGGACUCAGGAACCAGCCAUAGGUGGCUUGCUGCUGGGGACGGUGCAGGGACAUCCUGGCCAAAGGGCAGCUGUGUGACUGGCUCCUCUUCUCCGAAUUCAUGGCCAGAGUGUGAGGACUCACCCAGAAAACCGACUCAGGCUUCCAGGCGGCACUCAGAGCCUGUGCUGGGCGUGUGGCAUGGCUGACUGUCAAAUACAUCACUCACAGUCGAUGGCAUGACAGUGGGUGUAUGUCAGCAGCUCUUCGAGCCAGGCAGGCUGGACCCUUGGUCCUCCUCAAAGGAAAGGAGAGCUGACACUGAUUGGGCACCUACUACGUGCCAGACAUUCUCCUAAAUAUUUUACAUCCGCCAUCAUUCGAUUCUCUCAACAGCCCUGGAAGGAGGGGCGGGUCAUCCUCUCCAUCUCACAGCAGAAAAUUUCUACUUGGACACACACAGAAAGGAGAUGGUGUGAAGAGUCACAGAAAGAAGAUGGCCACUACAGGAGGGAGGCACAGAACGCAGCCUUCCAGGCCCGCAGAGGAAAACCACCCUGCCUGCACCUCCGUCCUGGACUUCCGGCCUCCACAACGGCGGGAAGUAACUUUCUGUUGUUUAAGUCCCUUGUCCUGUGACUGUGUUAUGGCAACUCUAGCAAAUUAAUAUAUAUCUCCGUAUAUAAAACAUAUUCAUUCUCCUCCCCUGAGACUGGUCUUCGUGGCAUCAGCUCAAAGCCCAGGGUCGUGUCACCGACACCAGGUGCAGGUGGGGCCAUGUUAGGUGGAGCUCCUUGGGUACAGCUCCUUGCGGACCACUCCUCUCAACGGCAAGAUCUGUGCAUGAAAGAGACAAGAUCUCUGGGCCCCCCACACCCAGCAAACAACGGGGCGACAGGCUUAGGAUAAGCACCAGAGAUACUCCCACUCAAAGGGGGCAUGCGGGAGACACAGCAGUCACUGGUCCACGGCAGUCCUAACAUCCUCGGGCACCCGUUGCCAGUCCCUUAGUUAGCACUCAGUCUCACUGCCUGAGAACUUCCUCCCACAUCCGCUAGUGACCCCCAGUCGUGGGACCCCCCGAAGCUGCAGGAGGCUGGGAAAUGUGGCCUUGCUGGUGCUCUGGUGGGCAGGGGUCUGGUACCAGCCUUGUCUCUCCACACCCUUCCUCCGUGGCUCGAGCCUGGUCUCCUCCAUGCUCCUUGCACGAGUGCCCCCAUGGAUGGGAAGCUCCUGGAGCACCGAGACCGUGCCUCUCCUGUUCAUCACUGCCUGCCCUGUGUUCGGCACAGAAUAGGGAUUCCAGACGUAGUUACUGAAGAGAGGAAUGGGUCGGUCUCGCAUCUGUGCCCCCGGAGAGCUUUGUAAAUAUCUCUGAUGGGGCCUUGACGUCACUGGGUUUUACUCACUCUGUGCUGGUCCCUGCUCACCCUCAGACUCCUCUCUCUGCUCCACCAGGUUCUUCUCAGGCACCUCCUGCGUGGUAACACUGUGCUGGGCCCUGGGCAUGUCUUUGUGAAUAAAACAGACCUGUCUGCGCCCUCAGAGAGCUUGCGGUCCAGAGGAGAGACCAGCAAUGAGCAGAGAGUCACAAACCAUUGUGCAAAUAAAUUUAAAAUG